This 426-nucleotide ribosomal RNA is filed under the name uncultured bacterium. RNAcentral describes it as "bacterial SSU rRNA". It matches the Rfam family "Bacterial small subunit ribosomal RNA", at positions 356 to 773 of the family's 1533-position model. The record is from RNAcentral.
GGGGAAUAUUGCGCAAUGGGGGAAACCCUGACGCAGCAACGCCGCGUGGGUGAAGAAGGUCUUCGGAUCGUAAAGCCCUGUCUGCGGGAAAGAAAUGGCAAGCGGUCAAUAUCCGUUUGCCUUGACGGUACCCGCGAAGGAAGCACCGGCUAACUCCGUGCCAGCAGCCGCGGUAAUACGGAGGGUGCUAGCGUUGUUCGGAAUCACUGGGCGUAAAGCGCGUGUAGGCGGACGGUCAAGUCCGGUGUGAAAGCCCUAGGCUUAACCUGGGAACUGCAUUGGAAACUGGUCGUCUCGAGUACGGGAGAGGGAAGUGGAAUUCCUAAUGUAGAGGUGAAAUUCGUAGAUAUUAGGAGGAACACCGGUGGCGAAGGCGGCUUCCUGGACCGAUACUGACGCUGAGACGCGAGAGCGUGGGUAGCAAAC